CCUACGGGUGGCUGCAGUAGGGAAUCUUCCGCAAUGGACGAAAGUCUGACGGAGCAACGCCGCGUGAGUGAAGAAGGUUUUCGGAUCGUAAAACUCUGUUGUCAGAGAAGAACAAGUUGGCGAGUAACUGCUCCAGCCUUGACGGUAUCUGACCAGAAAGCCACGGCUAACUACGUUCCAGCAGCCGCGGUAAUACGUAGGUGGCAAGCUUUGUCCGGAUUUAUUGGGGGUGGAGCCUUAAGAGGGAGGUGAAAGCCCACGGCUCAACCGUGGAAGGUCAUUGGAAACUGGGGAACUUGAGUGCAGAAGAGGAGAGUGGAAUUCCAUGUGUAGCGGUGAAAUGCGUAGAUAUAUGGAGGAACACCAGUGGCGAAGGCGACUCUCUGGUCUGUAACUGACGCUGAGGCUCGAAAGCGUGGGGAGCAAACAGGAUUAGAUACCCCUGUAGUC
RNAcentral lists this ribosomal RNA (450 nucleotides) under uncultured bacterium. RNAcentral describes it as "partial 16S ribosomal RNA". It matches the Rfam family "Bacterial small subunit ribosomal RNA", at positions 338 to 795 of the family's 1533-position model. The record is from RNAcentral.